UCUCUGGUGGUCCAGUGGUUAGGACUUGGCACUUUCACUGCUGGGGCCGAGGUCUGAGCCCUCAUCAGGGAA
RNAcentral lists this transfer RNA (72 nucleotides) under Ovis aries (sheep). It matches the Rfam family "tRNA". From Rfam's summary of the family: Transfer RNA (tRNA) molecules are approximately 80 nucleotides in length. Their secondary structure includes four short double-helical elements and three loops (D, anti-codon, and T loops). Further hydrogen bonds mediate the characteristic L-shaped molecular structure. tRNAs have two regions of fundamental functional importance: the anti-codon, which is responsible for specific mRNA codon recognition, and the 3' end, to which the tRNAs corresponding amino acid is attached (by aminoacyl-tRNA synthetases). tRNAs cope with the degeneracy of the genetic code in two manners: having more than one tRNA (with a specific anti-codon) for a particular amino acid; and 'wobble' base-pairing, i.e. permitting non-standard base-pairing at the 3rd anti-codon position. The record is from Rfam by way of RNAcentral. Lineage: Eukaryota; Metazoa; Chordata; Mammalia; Artiodactyla; Bovidae.